AAGCACCGCAUUUAGGCUAUUUCGUGGCGGCCAGUUUUUAUUGGUGGAGGAAGCCGGAGUGCCCGGAGAAAAUCACCGACAUUCGAUAGGAGAACUGACAUUCCUAGUCAAUUAAGAUUCGAGUCGAGUGCACCCAUACGAGCGGGGUUCGAACUCACAACCUCAGUGUUGACUGGCUAGUGAUUACAGUAGUAACUACUUAGACCACUCGGCCAC
Molecule: long non-coding RNA, 216 nt
Filed under: Mytilus galloprovincialis (Mediterranean mussel)
Lineage: Eukaryota; Metazoa; Mollusca; Bivalvia; Mytilida; Mytilidae
Source: RNAcentral